RNAcentral lists this ribosomal RNA (360 nucleotides) under uncultured bacterium. RNAcentral describes it as "partial 16S ribosomal RNA". It matches the Rfam family "Bacterial small subunit ribosomal RNA", at positions 338 to 696 of the family's 1533-position model. The record is from RNAcentral.
CCUACGGGUGGCAGCAGUGAGGAAUAUUGGUCAAUGGGCGGGAGCCUGAACCAGCCAAGCCGCGUGAGGGAAGAAGGCGCCAGGCGUCGUAAACUUCUUUUGUCGGGGCACAAAGGACGCCACGUGUGGCGUUGUGAGUGUACCCGAAGACACAGCAUCGGCUAACUACGUGCCAGCAGCCGCGGUAAUACGGAGGAUGCGGGCGUUAUCCGGAUUUGUGGGGGUGAAAGGGUGCGUAGGCGGCGCGGAGAGUCAGCGGUAAAAGCCAGGGGCUCAACCCCGGCGAGGCGUUGAAACUGUCUGUCUAGAGAGGGCGAGAAGUACGCGGAAUGCGGGGUGUAGCGGUGAAAUGCAUAGAUA